Molecule: ribosomal RNA, 253 nt
Filed under: uncultured bacterium
Lineage: Bacteria
Description: partial 16S ribosomal RNA
Rfam family: Bacterial small subunit ribosomal RNA
Source: RNAcentral
UACGUAGGGGGCAAGCGUUGUCCGGAUUUAUUGGGCGUAAAGAGCGUGUAGGCGGCUUGACAAGUCUGCUGUGAAAACUCGAGGCUCAACCUCGAGCUGUCGGUGGAAACUGUCUGGCUAGAGUCCGGAAGAGGAGAGUGGAAUUCCUGGUGUAGCGGUGAAAUGCGCAGAUAUCAGGAAGAACACCUAUGGCGAAGGCAGCUCUCUGGGACGGUACUGACGCUGAGACGCGAAAGCGUGGGGAGCAAACAGG